RNAcentral lists this ribosomal RNA (253 nucleotides) under uncultured bacterium. RNAcentral describes it as "partial 16S ribosomal RNA". It matches the Rfam family "Bacterial small subunit ribosomal RNA", at positions 524 to 776 of the family's 1533-position model. The record is from RNAcentral.
UACAGAGGUCUCAAGCGUUGUUCGGAUUCAUUGGGCGUAAAGGGUGCGUAGGUGGCGAUGCAAGUCUGGUGUGAAAUCUCGGGGCUCAACCCCGAAAUUGCACCGGAUACUGCGUUGCUCGAGGAUUGUAGAGGAGAGUGGAAUUCACGGUGUAGCAGUGAAAUGCGUAGAUAUCGUGAGGAAGACCAGUUGCGAAGGCGACUCUCUGGGCAAUUCCUGACACUGAGGCACGAAGGCCAGGGGAGCAAACGGG